Molecule: ribosomal RNA, 300 nt
Filed under: Triticum aestivum (bread wheat)
Lineage: Eukaryota; Viridiplantae; Streptophyta; Magnoliopsida; Poales; Poaceae
Description: partial small subunit ribosomal RNA
Source: RNAcentral
AUGCAUGCCACGCCUGCAAUGUGUACUCGCCUACAUUCAUCUCAACAAAUACACAACUACUCCUACCACUAUCAGGCAAAUGAGUGUAACUAUAAGCAAGCUACUACCAAAUAUAUUGAGCUCGCACAUGAAUUGUUGCAUGCAGCUGAACCGAAACAACAUGAGAAAGAUUAUGAAGCAAGCACCCAAAAUGCACCUAUGCGGACAUUCAAAAGUUACUGCAGUUGCACCGUUCAGAUGAAGUUAAUGAACCCGGUUGCCUUUGAGAUGCAGGCAGAGAAGACAUACAAUGGCGUAUAA